RNAcentral lists this ribosomal RNA (680 nucleotides) under uncultured bacterium. RNAcentral's name for it is "bacterial SSU rRNA". It matches the Rfam family "Bacterial small subunit ribosomal RNA", at positions 233 to 934 of the family's 1533-position model. The record is from RNAcentral.
GCGGCUGAUUAGCUUGUUGGUGAGGUAAUGGCUCACCAAGGCGACGAUCAGUAGCUGGUCUGAGAGGAUGAUCAGCCACACUGGAACUGAGACACGGUCCAGACUCCUACGGGAGGCAGCAGUGGGGAAUAUUGGACAAUGGGCGAAAGCCUGAUCCAGCCAUGCCGCGUGAGUGACGAAGGCCUUCGGGUUGUAAAGCUCUUUUAAUAGGGAAGAUAAUGACGGUACCUAUAGAAUAAGCUCCGGCUAACUCCGUGCCAGCAGCCGCGGUAAUACGGAGGGGGCUAGCGUUGUUCGGAAUUACUGGGCGUAAAGAGUACGUAGGCGGAUUACCAAGUCAGAUGUGAAAUCCCGGGGCUUAACCUCGGAACUGCAUUUGAAACUGGUAGUCUAGAGAAUGAUAGAGGUAAGUGGAAUUCCUAGUGUAGGGGUGAAAUCCGUAGAUAUUAGGAGGAACAUCGAUGGCGAAGGCAGCUUACUGGGUCAUUUCUGACGCUGAGGUACGAAAGCGUGGGUAGCAAACAGGAUUAGAUACCCUGGUAGUCCACGCCGUAAACGAUGGGUGCUAGUUGUUGGCCUUUAAGGUCGGUGACGUAGCUAACGCGUUAAGCACCCCGCCUGGGGAGUACGGUCGCAAGAUUAAAACUCAAAGGAAUUGACGGGGACCCGCACAAGCGGUG